RNAcentral lists this ribosomal RNA (460 nucleotides) under uncultured bacterium. RNAcentral describes it as "partial 16S ribosomal RNA". It matches the Rfam family "Bacterial small subunit ribosomal RNA", at positions 338 to 795 of the family's 1533-position model. The record is from RNAcentral.
CCUACGGGGGGCAGCAGUGAGGAAUAUUGGUCAAUGGCCGGAAGGCUGAACCAGCCAUGCCGCGUGAAGGUCAGUGCCCUAUGGGCGUUAAACUUCUUUUGUGCGGGAGCAAUAAUGGUCACGUGUGGCCAGACGAGAGUACCGUACGAAUAAGCAUCGGCUAACUCCGUGCCAGCAGCCGCGGUAAUACGGGGGAUGUAAGCGUUAUCCGGAUUUAUUGGGUUUAAAGGGUGCGUAGGCUGUGAGGUAAGUCAGCGGUGAAAUGCCCCCGCUCAACGGGGUGAAGUGCCAUUGAUACUGCCUGGCUGGAAUGCGGAUGCGGUGGGAGGAAUGUGUGGUGUAGCGGUGAAAUGCAUAGAUAUCACACAGAACACCGAUUGCGAAGGCAUCUCACGAAUCCGCGAUUGACGCUGAUGCACGAAAGCGUGGGUAUCAAACAGGAUUAGAUACCCCGGUAGUC